GGCCCUUUAGCUCAGUUGGUAGAGCAGAGGACUGAAAAUCCUCGUGUCCGCAGUUCGAUUCUGCGAGGGGCCACCA
Molecule: transfer RNA, 76 nt
Filed under: Pseudomonadota bacterium
Lineage: Bacteria; Pseudomonadati; Pseudomonadota
Also listed under: 4 other names
Description: tRNA-Phe
Rfam family: tRNA
About the family: Transfer RNA (tRNA) molecules are approximately 80 nucleotides in length. Their secondary structure includes four short double-helical elements and three loops (D, anti-codon, and T loops).
Source: RNAcentral